Molecule: small nuclear RNA, 98 nt
Organism: Cricetulus griseus (Chinese hamster)
Lineage: Eukaryota; Metazoa; Chordata; Mammalia; Rodentia; Cricetidae
Source: Ensembl
GUGUUCACUUCCACAGCACAUAUACUAAAAUCUGAAUGAUACAGAGAAGAUUUGCUUGGUUCCUGCUCAAGGAUGACAUGCUUUGGUGGCUGUUAUUU